RNAcentral lists this ribosomal RNA (1261 nucleotides) under Ectophasia rotundiventris. Its description in RNAcentral is "eukaryotic LSU rRNA". It matches the Rfam family "Eukaryotic large subunit ribosomal RNA", at positions 156 to 1219 of the family's 3401-position model. The record is from RNAcentral. Lineage: Eukaryota; Metazoa; Arthropoda; Insecta; Diptera; Tachinidae.
GAAUGUCAAAUUUCUAGUAUGAGAAAUUAAUGAUUUAAGUCCUUCUUAAAUGAGGCCAUUUACCCAUAGAGGGUGCCAGGCCCGUAUAACGUUAAUGAUUACUAGAUGACAUUUCCAAAGAGUCGUGUUGCUUGAUAGUGCAGCACUAAGUGGGUGGUAAACUCCAUCUAAAACUAAAUAUAACCAUGAGACCGAUAGUAAACAAGUACCGUGAGGGAAAGUUGAAAAGAACUCUGAAUAGAGAGUUAAAUAGUACGUGAAACUGCUUAGAGGUUAAGCCCGAUGAACCUGAAUAUCCGUUAUAGAAAAUUCAUCAUUAUGAUUUUAAUAUUUAAUACAUAUUAUAAUAAUGGUGUGCAUUUUUUCUAUAAAGGACAUUGUAAUCUAUUAAUAUUGUAAUAUUUAUCAUAAGAUCAAUAUGCGUAAGUUUAUUCAAAUUAUUUUGCUUGCAAUUUAAUAUAGAAUAAAUGCUUUUGAUUUGAUAAAGUAUUGAUAGAUUUAUUAUAUAUAGUGCUUAAAUAUAUUUUUAUAUUUUAUAAUGGCAUAUUAAUCAUUGAUUUUUAUGUUUAUUAUAUGCACUUAUAUGAUUAACAAUGCGAAAGAUUCAGGAUACCUUCGGGACCCGUCUUGAAACACGGACCAAGGAGUCUAACAUAUUUGCAAGUUAUUGGGAAUUAAAAACCUAAUAGCGAAAUUAACAUAACUUUAAUGGGAUUAGUUUUUAGUCUAUUUUUAAUAGUUCUAUUAAUACAAUCCCGGGGCGUUCUAUACAGUUAUGUAUAAUAGUAUUUAUAUUAUUUAUACCUCUAACUAGAGCGUACCUUGAGCAUAUAUGCUGUGACCCGAAAGAUGGUGAACUAUACUUGAUCAGGUUGAAGUCAGGGGAAACCCUGAUGGAAGACCGAAACAGUUCUGACGUGCAAAUCGAUUGUCAGAAUUGAGUAUAGGGGCGAAAGACCAAUCGAACCAUCUAGUAGCUGGUUCCCUCCGAAGUUUCCCUCAGGAUAGCUGGUGCAUUUAAAAUUUAUGUAAAAUAAUCUUAUCUGGUAAAGCGAAUGAUUAGAGGCCUUAGGGUCGAAACGACCUUAACCUAUUCUCAAACUUUAAAUGGGUAAGAACCUCACCUUUCUUGGUAUGAAGGUUGUGGUUGUGAUAUAAUGUGCCCAGUGGGCCACUUUUGGUAAGCAGAACUGGCGCUGUGGGAUGAACCAAACGUAAUGUUACGGUGCCCAAAUUAACAACUCAUGCAGAUACCAUGAAA